RNAcentral lists this ribosomal RNA (446 nucleotides) under uncultured bacterium. RNAcentral's name for it is "SSU rRNA". It matches the Rfam family "Bacterial small subunit ribosomal RNA", at positions 26 to 518 of the family's 1533-position model. The record is from RNAcentral.
AGAACGAACGCUGGCGGCAGGCUUAACACAUGCAAGUCGAACGCGUGUAGCAAUACACGAGUGGCGCACGGGUGAGUAACGCGUGGAUAUCUGCCUUUUGGUUCGGAAUAACCCCGGGAAACUGGGGCUAAUACCGGAUGGUUCCUACGGGAUAAAGAUUUAUCGCCAAAAGAUGAGUCCGCGUCCGAUUAGCUAGUUGGUGGGGUAAUGGCCUACCAAGGCGACGAUCGGUAGCUGGUCUGAGAGGACGAUCAGCCACACUGGGACUGAGACACGGCCCAGACUCCUACGGGAGGCAGCAGUGGGGAAUAUUGGACAAUGGGGGCAACCCUGAUCCAGCCAUGCCGCGUGAGUGAUGAAGGCCUUCGGGUUGUAAAGCUCUUUUGGCGGGGACGAUGAUGACGGUCCCGCAGAAUAAGCCCGGCUAACUUCGCGCCAGCAGCCGC